This 402-nucleotide ribosomal RNA is filed under the name uncultured bacterium. RNAcentral's name for it is "bacterial SSU rRNA". It matches the Rfam family "Bacterial small subunit ribosomal RNA", at positions 355 to 774 of the family's 1533-position model. The record is from RNAcentral.
UGGGGAAUCUUGCACAAUGGGGGCAACCCUGAUGCAGCGACGCCGCGUGAGCGAUGAAGCCCUUCGGGGCGUAAAGCUCUUUCGACCGGAACGAUAAUGACGGUACCGGGAGAAGAAGCUGCGGCUAACUACGUGCAAGCAGCCGCGGCAAUACGUAGGCAGCAAGCGUUGUUCGGAGUUACUGGGCGUAGAGAGUGCGUAGGCGGUUUUCUAAGUUCGGGUUGAAAUCUCCCGGCUUAACUGGGAGGGUGCGCCGAAGACUGGGAAGCUGGAUUGUGGGAAAGGCAGGCGGAAUUCCUGGUGUAGCGGUGAAAUGCGUAGAUAUCAGGAGGAACACCGGCGGUGUAGACGGCUUGCUAGACCAUAACUGACGCUGAGGCACGAAAGCGUGGGUAGCAAACA